This 301-nucleotide ribosomal RNA is filed under the name uncultured bacterium. Its description in RNAcentral is "partial 16S ribosomal RNA". It matches the Rfam family "Bacterial small subunit ribosomal RNA", at positions 509 to 809 of the family's 1533-position model. The record is from RNAcentral.
CAGUCGCCACAGGAAUACAGAGGGUGCAAGCGUUAAUCGGAAUUACUGGGCGUAAAGCGCGCGUAGGUGGUUUGUUAAGUUGGAUGUGAAAUCCCCGGGCUCAACCUGGGAACUGCAUCCAAAACUGGCAAGCUAGAGUAUGGUAGAGGGUGGUGGAAUUUCCUGUGUAGCGGUGAAAUGCGUAGAUAUAGGAAGGAACACCAGUGGCGAAGGCGACCACCUGGACUGAUACUGACACUGAGGUGCGAAAGCGUGGGGAGCAAACAGGAUUAGAUACCCCCGUAGUCCCUGUCUCUUAUAA